Molecule: ribosomal RNA, 468 nt
Filed under: uncultured bacterium
Lineage: Bacteria
Description: partial 16S ribosomal RNA
Rfam family: Bacterial small subunit ribosomal RNA
Source: RNAcentral
GACGAACGCUGGCGGCGUGCUUAACACAUGCAAGUCGAACGGAAAGGCCCUGCUUUUGUGGGGUGCUCGAGUGGCGAACGAGUGAGUAACACGUGAGUAACCUGCCCUUGACUUUGGGAUAACUUCAGGAAACUGGGGCUAAUACCGGAUAGGAGCUCCUGCUGCAUGGUGGGGGUUGGAAAGUUUCGGCGGUUGGGGAUGGACUCGCGGCUUAUCAGCUUGUUGGUGGGGUAGUGGCUUACCACGGCUUUGACGGGUAGCCGGCCUGAGAGGGUGACCGGCCACAUUGUGACUGAGGUACGGGCCAGACUGCUACUGGAGGCAGCAGUGGAGAAUAUUGCACAAUGGGCGGAAGCCUUAUGCAGCAACGCCGCGUGCGGGAUGACGGCCGUCGGGUUGGAACCCGCUUUCGCCUGUGACGAAGCGUGAGUGACGGUAAUGGGUAAAGAAGCACCGGCUAACUACGUG